Rhineura floridana is the source of this 840-nucleotide long non-coding RNA. RefSeq lists it as uncharacterized. NCBI's taxonomy places the organism in Eukaryota, Metazoa, Chordata, Lepidosauria, Squamata, Rhineuridae. The record is from RefSeq and is a predicted model, not a curated record. The transcript is spliced from 3 exons.
AGUGCUUGGCUGGAAGAGUAUCUAUGCACCAACUUUGUGCUUGGCCUGUUAGCUAAGCUUCUGAGGACCCCAAGCUUGACCCAGGAUUAUUUUGGACCUGCCUCUGGACUUGUGCUGCUUUGCCCAUGGACUGACCAGCUCCUGACCUUGGACUGCUCUCCCCCUGCCUGAGCCUUUGUUGUGGACUCUCCUGGUUUGGGCCCUGACUUUGGACUGGCUCCAGAUCUUUCUCCACAUCAUAGCUUUCGAGAGUUUGGAAGGCAUUGGAAUAGACUUCUAGAGCUUUUGCAUGAAAGACCAUCUCAACGGUGACAAAAUCCAAGAAGAUCUUCUGCAAGGAAAGCAAACAGCACGUCUUAAUGUUUCAUUGGAUUCCACCGCUCUGUGGAACGCUCAGAAGGAAACAUUACUGUAAUACAAGCCUCCCAUAGUGGGGCUCAUAACUCUGCCUUUCCUGAUCUGCCUUUCCUAAAGCAGCCAGAACUCCGCAAUGCUGGUGAGCUGGGACUGCUUUUGCAUGGGCAAGGAAGAGACUGAAACAGCAAUGGGCUGCUGGCAAGGAUACGAUCAACUGUCUGUCAGAUGGCGACUUCUGUCGGAUCUUCUCCAACUUCUCCAGUUGCUUUAUUUCAUUGUUUCUGGCUUUGUUGAACUUCUUAAUCUCGGCCUAUUGAAUGUAGCAAAGGCAAUCUCUUUUGUACAACAGCUCCUUUGUUUUAUGUUAACUUUAUAAACUGCUCACAUUAUAAAAUAUCAGAGCAAUAUAGAAAAAAACAAAACUAAGUGUGAAAUAUUAAAAAUAAAUAAAUAAAACCAUUAAACUAACAGUUCCAAAUGAGA